This 64-nucleotide transfer RNA is filed under the name Bostrichoidea sp. 9 KM-2017. Its description in RNAcentral is "tRNA-Ile". The record is from RNAcentral. Lineage: Eukaryota; Metazoa; Arthropoda; Insecta; Coleoptera.
AAUGAAGUGCCUGAUAAAAGGGUUAUUUUGAUAGAAUAAAACAUGUACGUCCAUACCUUCAUUU